RNAcentral lists this ribosomal RNA (253 nucleotides) under uncultured bacterium. RNAcentral's name for it is "partial 16S ribosomal RNA". It matches the Rfam family "Bacterial small subunit ribosomal RNA", at positions 524 to 776 of the family's 1533-position model. The record is from RNAcentral.
UACAGAGGUCUCAAGCGUUGUUCGGAUUCAUUGGGCGUAAAGGGUGCGUAGGCGGCGCGGUAAGUCGGGUGUGAAAUCUCGGAGCUUAACUCCGAAACUGCAUUCGAUACUGCGGUGCUUGAGGACUGGAGGGGAGACUGGAAUUCAUGGUGUAGCAGUGAAAUGCGUAGAGAUCAUGAGGAAGACCAGUGGCGAAGGCGGGUCUCUGGACAGUUCCUGACACUGAGGCACGAAGGCCAGGGGAGCAAACGGG